GAUGAACGCUGGCGGCGUGCCUAAUACAUGCAAGUCGAGCGAACAGAUGAGGAGCUUGCUCCUCUGACGUUAGCGGCGGACGGGUGAGUAACACGUGGAUAACCUACCUAUAAGACUGGGAUAACUUCGGGAAACCGGAGCUAAUACCGGAUAAUAUAUUGAACCGCAUGGUUCAAUAGUGAAAGACGGUUUUGCUGUCACUUAUAGAUGGAUCCGCGCCGCAUUAGCUAGUUGGUAAGGUAACGGCUUACCAAGGCAACGAUGCGUAGCCGACCUGAGAGGGUGAUCGGCCACACUGGAACUGAGACACGGUCCAGACUCCUACGGGAGGCAGCAGUAGGGAAUCUUCCGCAAUGGGCGAAAGCCUGACGGAGCAACGCCGCGUGAGUGAUGAAGGUCUUCGGAUCGUAAAACUGUGUUAUUAGGGAAGAACAAAUGUGUAAGUAACUGUGCACAUCUUGACGGUACCUAAUCAGAAAGCCACGGCUAACUACGUG
Molecule: ribosomal RNA, 497 nt
Filed under: uncultured bacterium
Lineage: Bacteria
Description: partial 16S ribosomal RNA
Rfam family: Bacterial small subunit ribosomal RNA
Source: RNAcentral